Diospyros lotus (date-plum) is the source of this 107-nucleotide small nucleolar RNA. Lineage: Eukaryota; Viridiplantae; Streptophyta; Magnoliopsida; Ericales; Ebenaceae. The record is from RefSeq and is a predicted model, not a curated record.
AUUUAAUGAUGUGGGCAGCUUGCGCACAACUUCUUGAAGCGCUCCCAAUAUUCAUACAAGGUCUCUCCGUUGUACUGUCAAAUGCCACAUAUCUCUUUCCUUAUGCU